This 2878-nucleotide unclassified non-coding RNA is filed under the name Pomacea canaliculata. RNAcentral's name for it is "sperm flagellar protein 1-like, transcript variant X4". The record is from RNAcentral. Lineage: Eukaryota; Metazoa; Mollusca; Gastropoda; Architaenioglossa; Ampullariidae.
AGAGUGACAAGAAAGUGUACUCGGCGCCAAAGAAGGGCAAAGAAAUCGAGAUGAUCAUAUGCAAAACCCAUGAAUAUAUUUUUAAUGGCGAAUAAAACAACUGAAUUAAAAGAAGUUUGUUCCUUUGUUUUCUUAGUGAGGUCCUCCUCGAUCGUUCACUGAUUCCAUUGAUAUGUACGCAUUCAAAUUGGUUUCUUCUCGGCGAGAUCAUGACGGGUUCACCCGUGUGGAUAUGGUAGACUAUUACGACGAUGCGGAGCUGGAGAAUUUAUAUCAGUGGCUUGACAGGGUACCACUUACAAGACCGAAGAAAAAUCUUGCCAAAGACUUUUCUGAUGGAGUAUUGGUAGCUGAAGUCAUCAAAUACUAUUUCCCACGCAUGGUUGAUCUUCAUAACUACUCACCAGCACAUGCUGAUAAACAAAAGAUGGAAAACUGGUACCAUCUUAACAGAAAAGUUUUGUAUCGAUUAGAUCUUGACCUGUCAGAUGAGGUCAUUCGGGCUCUUGUAAAGUCCAAGAAAAAAGUGGUUGAGCGUGUGCUAAUGUUGCUCCGACUUCAAAUUGACAAAGCAAUGGAGAAAAUGCAGAGACACAAAGAGCGUGUUAAGCAUCUGCAGGCAUCUUCAAGUAAAGCAUCUUCACCAUUUCCUACUGGACGGGAGCUCAUUCCACACAAAUCUGUCUCUCCUCGAAGUAUUGGUGCUAACCCUGUAAUCCCUCAUAGCCAUCCAUCUAGAGUGGGCUAUUCACAAACAGAAUUUACUUUACCUUCCUUACCUCCAGCUAUUAAUAAUGUGGACAGAUCACUUUUAGAAGAGAAAGAGCAGGAAAGUAUGGCCAAAAAUGAAACAAUAUAUAUCCUGAAUGAUAAGCUAACUAGACUAGAGCAGUUGCUGCAUCUUAAGGACAUGAGGAUUGAAGACUUGGAAUCACGAUUGAAUCAAGUCAGAUCGCUAAAUUAUAGUCGUAGAGUAACUUAAAAAAAAUACUGAGACUCCCUGAGAAAAAAGGAUUAAAACUGUUAUUACAAUGUUAUUUACAACAUAAGUAAAAGAUUAUUUAAAUUCUUCUUCUCAUUCCUAAUCACCCCCAGUAGAGCAUAGGGCCGCAACUACACCACGGCAUCGGACCCGAUUCUGGAUGGCCCUUUCCAGUUGGGACCAUGUCACACCAACUGCCUGCACCUUGCUGUGGAUCGAGCUCCUUCAUGUAAAAGAUUAUUUAAAUAGAAGACAUAUAUUGCCAGUUUUUUGUUUUGUUUACUAUGUGAUCUAAUCAGAUGCAAAAGCCAUACACUUUAAGAAUUUGUAUUUAUAACUGCUAUGGCUGCAGCUGAAUGUUGGUGUUUGUUUUGUUUUUUGGAAGGGGACAAAAUUACUGAAAUGUAACCAGUUGUGUUCCUAAUUCUUCUUGCCACAGAUUGUUAUGCUACAAACUAAGAAGGUAUUGCCAUUCUGUACCUAACAAUUAACUGUGAUUGUAAAUAUGUUAGAUACAUAUCAUAAAAGACAUAUUUUUCCCCAAGCCUGGUUUCCAAUGCAAGUUCAGCUGAUGGUGAGACUAUUUUUAAUAUGAAACUGUUGGUAAUGGUUUGUGGAAAAUUUUGGUAUUUUUUUUUAGUGCUUUUAACAAAUUGUGCACCUCUUGAUAUUGGUGGAGGGUUUGAAUGUUGAGAGGUUUUAGUGUGCACUUUUUCCCCCCAGAGCAUUUUGCAUUAAUGUUGCUGAUGUGUGCAUUAAGAAAAUGGUGGAGGGUGUGCAGGUGUGUGCUUUUUUUUUUUUUUUUUUUUUUUUUGAAAGGAUUAUUUACUGACUGCAAAGUUAUGCAUGCAAUCUGAACAUCAAAAAUGAUCAUUUGGAAUUACUAAAACAAAGAAAAACAAAAAAAACUCCAACAAAACAAUAAAUCAAAUAGAUAACUUCAGCUUGUUUUAUGCUGUUGUGAUAAUAUUAAAAAUGCAGGUUUAAGUGUGUGCAUCCGCAUACUCAUAUUCUCAUCCUUAAAAGGUGACACUUUAGAAUUAACAGUUAUAUUCACGUAACACUCUUUACUGUAUUUUGUCCUCUACUAGACACUAUUUGAAAUUUCUCACCUUGUCCAUGAUGAUAUCUAAAUGUAUUGUGCAUCUAUUAUGCCACAAAUCUUAUUUUUACUUCUUGUAGCAGUUUUUAUUUUAUGUAUAAACAUGGAAAGAUCAUGAAUAUGAUACUUAUAUUUCUCACAAAGAUGACAAAAAUAAUAUGAGCAUUUUCCUUUUAAGAAAUAAAUGUUAAUAACAUACCAGAAUGCAUAAAACUUGCCAUUCUGUGGUAACAUUGUGUAGCUGAAUGAGAGAAUAUUAAACAUUAAUUUAUUCAGCUUAAAUCCUGUGCUGCAUACACUAGUCAUGAAAUUGUUAAUUUUGAAACCACUAAUUAUGUAACCACAAUUCACAUUCUUUAUUGUUUUUGUCAACUAAUUCAUAAUGUUGGCAUAAUAUUAUAGAUGACAUUUGUCUAGUCCCACAUAAAAUUUUAAAAUUCUGAGGCAAUGAGUACUGUUGGUGUGUGUAAAAUCAGUAGAUAUUUGAUGCUACCUCACUUUGUUUUCUGUAUUUGGGGAGUGUUGCAGGGUUUGCUUUUACAGUGAGAGCAAGAAAGUACUUUUGAAUGGUCAAACAUAAACUUUGGCUGCUCAGAACUAACUAGUAAAAAUUAUGCUGAAUGUCAUUUUAAAAUUGAUAUUUGGCAUAAUCUUCACUGUGCACGUUCCUUCUUGCAGAUAUUGCUGGGUCAUGUGAACAAAUUGAGCCAUGAAAACAGCAAUAAAAAUAUCUCACUUUAAGAUUGUGACCACCAUUUCUGCAAUCAAGUGAGUUGAUUCUGAGUUUUAGAUCC